This 1751-nucleotide long non-coding RNA is filed under the name Lupinus angustifolius (narrow-leaved blue lupine). Its description in RNAcentral is "long non-coding RNA (LANG_LNC000748)". The record is from RNAcentral. Lineage: Eukaryota; Viridiplantae; Streptophyta; Magnoliopsida; Fabales; Fabaceae.
UGGAGGAUAUGCUGUAGAUGGUUGUAGAGAGUUCAUGGCAAGUGGUGGUGAAGGUACAAUUUCUGCUCUAACUUGUGCUGCUUGUGGCUGCCACAGAAACUUCCACAAAAAAGAGGUUGAGACUGAAGCACUAAGUGAAUUCUCUUCACAAACCUCCUCAGGGAUUUGAUGAUGAGCAUUUCAUGAUAUAUACCUCAACAAUUAUGUAAUAUAUAUAUUCUGUGAACUUACUUGAUUUUGCUAGUUAAGUGAGAUUUUAAGAUAUAGUGUUGGGCUUGCUUAAUUAAUUAUGUAGAACUAUAUGUUCUAUAGUAAGUUGGUGUGUAUAAUGGGUGAAUUCUCUUAAUUUCUUGAUUAAACUUAUCUUAUGACCUAGAGGUAUAUGCGCUUCCGUGCAUCUACUCACUCAGAUCUUAUUAGGUGAGAGACUCCUACAUUGGUACAACUUUUUUUUAUUUCUUUCAUUACUUUAUCAUUUUUUUGCUUCGCAUAUUAGCAGUGUUUUAAAUUAUUAUUGCGUCCAUGGUUGUGGUUAUUGUGGCUGUGUAGUCGUUGCGGUGUAAAUAUUUGUGAUCGAAAAAAUAAUUUUGAAUUUGAUGAGUUCCGAUGUGGCAUGAUGUGAUUAUGUUAUGAUCACUUCAUUGUCACAUAACAUUUACCGUUAUAACGGUUACCACAAUUACAAUAUUAUAGCUGCAUGCAUCGGUUGAUGUAGUCUGCAAUUUUAUACUAGGUUGUGUAACUUUAAAAUAUGAUGAUGGGUACUUAAAUUGGUUAGGUUUGCUGAUUUUGAUUCAAUUCAAUAUCAUAUCCUUUGGGACAUAAAACAAAUGUACCAAACCUCACUUUGCUUUGCCUUGUGUCUCUAUUUUUUCCCUUUAUUUCUAUUUUAGUAUUGCCGUGUCUGUAUUAAACUUUUCUCACAUAUGAUCAAGAUACAGUGCUCCUGAAUUUAAUAUCACUUAUUACUAUACCAUGGUAGCUAGUUUCUUGAGUGUGCAAUGUGUAGUCUAUAACAACUGUGUCAAAAAAUCACAAUUAUAGCCGUUUCUAAAUAUAAGAGAUUUGUAUUUAUUAGAUAAGCAGUAAUAAAAACUCUAUAAUCCUAUCCACACUGAAAAGAGGGGGAGAAAAAUAGAUAAGAAUGCAUGAGCUAUGAGUAUCAUCUCUUUUACUAAUUGGUCAAUGAAAUGGAUUAUUAGAAUUAAUCAAACUAAGUAACUAAAACAUAUAUGUUAUAUACCAAUAAGGUAUAGGUCUAGUGGUGUAAGGUCUCACUAGAUCCACAAGAUGACCAAAAAGUCAAUGGUACGAUUCCUAGGAGCAACACUUGUUGGGAGGGGCAGUCAUGUACCCCAAAAGAGAUUAGUUCCUUAUCUAAAAGGAUGAGGGGAUACUCUUGAUAUUACAAAAAAACAAAUGUUAAAUAAGCUACAUAUCCUAGGUAUAUGUUAAUGUUCCUAACUUCCUAUAAUAUGUAUGAUUAAAACCCUAAAUGAAGUUAAAGCACUAAUACAAGUAAAAAGAAGAAAGUAUGAGAUAAAUCAAAAGGGUACCUACUACAUACCUUUGCAUAUUAUGAUAGAGAUACGUUUUCAUAUAGCAGUAGGAGAAAUGAAAGUCACAAACACAAGUCUUUUUAGCAGUUCAACAAGUUGCUUAUAACAAAAAUUAACAUGCAGAGUGUGCAAAGGGGAAGUUAUUUGGAACACAUUUCUGUACUCUAUAGCUAAGUUUUCAUAAAAAAGAAG